GCUACAGGCUGAAUGACAGGUCUCUAACAGACCAUAAAGCAGGGGAUGCUUGAGGGUGGGGAUACACGCUGAUUGACAGGUCUCUAACAGACCAUAAAGCAGGGGAUGCUUUAGGGCGUGGCUACAGGCUGAUUGACAGGUCUCUAACAGACCAUAAACCAGGGGAUGCUUUAGGGCGGGGCUACAGGCUGAUUGACAGGUCUCUAACAGACCAUAAACCAGGGGAUGCUUUAGGGCGGGGCUACAGGCUGAUUGACAGGUCUCUGCCGUCGUGUUUCCCGUGGCGAACAGGCUCUGUGGUUAACAGAACUCCAUGUUUUACUUCACAUCAAAGGGAGGCUUGACUGUGAUUGGCCGAUGCAGCUUCCUUCGCCGGGUGACAUUGUGUGGUAGUUAAAGUCUGUCCCCUAAACGCAGUGAGUUUGUCUAUAAGUCUAUAAGACGAGUUCAGUGCAGAACCUUUUACAUCUUUCAGAUGUGUUUCAUAGAUUUUUGUGGCUUUGAAACACCAAACAAUGAAGGAUCAUUGCAGCUCCCCCCUGGAGGGAGCUGCUAUUCAUCUGGGAGGCAGCAUUGAUCAAGUGGCAGAAGGAGACUCUGUUAAACCAGCAGCCAUGGAGAGUCUCUGAAGAGCAUCGUGCUGCUGGUUCGAUUCCAGCGAUCCAUAAAUCUCACAGAGCAACGAUUCUUCUCCUUCUUCCAGUCUGAGGGACAAAGGUGUGAGACGCAAAGCGGCCUCUCAGAGGCGAUCGCUCCCUUCAAGUGAAACCAGAAGAGAUCAGUUGUUCAAAUACUAAUGCAAUUAUUAUUAAUGCAACUAGUAUUUUACACCCAAGUAUAGAUAAAAACACAAGAUACGUUGUAUUCACAGUAGUACAACUUUGAAUAAAUGAAUCAAACUGCUGGCGACCUCCAGCAGAUGUUCAGCUCUUCUUCACUUUUCCUGCUUCACUUUCUCAACUCAGUUUUUUUUAGAGUCGCAGUCCCGAUAUUUUUGCUGUAGAUUUCCAAAUGAUUUUAAAGUAUUUCAUUGACUGUAACAUCUAUAAUAUUUAGUGACAUGUUGUUGGUUUUUGUUGACUUAACCCCGCCUUCCUUUUCUCAGAUGGUCCUGCGUGUAUUUCAUAAACUAGAAGAAGGGAAAUACACUGAAAGCCUGAACCUUUAUUUGACUUUUAGAUUCCCAGGACUCUGUAGAAGAAUGUCUUCACAGAGCGUGCGUCUCUUCAGGUGCUACUAGACGCAGGUGGUGUGUUUGGGAUGCUUUCAGGGUCUAAAGUCUAUUGAAUAUGUUUUUCAUCCUCUACAUUGUGUGAUAAAAGCUAAUACUGUGAACACUGUGUUCCUCCGGGUUUAGUCUUUGUAACUUGUUACUUUGGUAGAAAAGGGUCACUUUAACUGAUUAGGAGUAAAAAGCAGCUUCCUCACACUCGUUUACCCGUAAUGUGUUUGCACAUUAGUUCUGACUCAACGGCUGCAGCCAUGAGAGCCAGAAAUGGAGUUUUCAUUACGGAAAAGCCCUCACUAGUGCGGGAGGCUUUCUACCGGUUCCUCUCACUGCGAUGCUUUAAUGUACCGGCGUCGAGGCCUCGCGGCUCCUGUGACUUAUUACGUGGAAGCGCUUUGAAUGAAACACAAAGAGUGGAAAUAAUUGCGUGUCAGAAUCAAAGGCGCCUUAUCUAAGCAAUUAUGUCGACAUGUUUCGGAGGGUCCAAUUAAAAGUGUCCGAGCGACGAGCCUGAAGCGACGAAGUCAGGAUUCUGCACGAUGACGUUUGUGGAACGAUCAUCAACCAAUCAGGUUGCAGGACGGGUUCAUCUGCGCCUCGACGCUUCAAAAUGUCAGUCGACAAACCGGCGACUUUAUUUCCUUUUUAUUCAGUGUGUGAAAUCAUUUUACAAACCAGUGAACAGGAAGUGAACGUUAUGAACUCAGCAGGACAUCUUGACCUGUCAAUCAGCCUGUAGCCCCGCCCUAAAGCAUCUCUUCUUUAUGGUCUGUUUGACUCUAAAUGGACUUUAAUUUACUAAAUGAACAUCAUGUUGUGUUGAAGAAGACUUGAAACUAGAGACUGAGACCAUAAACUCAGGUUUACAAUGUUUACUGAGGGAAUAAAUCCACAGAGAAGUAGAGUCAUUUCCUCAUAGACGUCUAUGGGAGCAGAGGAGUCGCCCCCUGCUGGUCACUACAGAGAAGUAGAGUCAUUUCCUCAUAGACGUCUAUGGGAGCAGAGGAGUCGCCCCCUGCUGGUCACUACAGAGAAGUAGAGUCAUUUCCUCAUAGAC
Molecule: long non-coding RNA, 2285 nt
Organism: Gasterosteus aculeatus aculeatus (three-spined stickleback)
Lineage: Eukaryota; Metazoa; Chordata; Actinopteri; Perciformes; Gasterosteidae
Source: Ensembl